This is a non-coding RNA of Triticum urartu, 89 nucleotides long. The record is from Rfam. NCBI's taxonomy places the organism in Eukaryota, Viridiplantae, Streptophyta, Magnoliopsida, Poales, Poaceae.
GAAACAAGUGAUGAUACCAAGACAGGGACAUCAGAACCCUUCGGGGUUAUGACAGACUACGUCUAUAAUGGGAAUCUCUCUGAUGUUUU